This 264-nucleotide ribosomal RNA is filed under the name uncultured bacterium. Its description in RNAcentral is "partial 16S ribosomal RNA". It matches the Rfam family "Bacterial small subunit ribosomal RNA", at positions 793 to 1055 of the family's 1533-position model. The record is from RNAcentral.
GUCCACGCCCUAAACGAUGUCAACUAGGUGUCGGGAGCGCAAGUUCUUGGUACCGCAGCUAACGCGUGAAGUUGACCGCCUGGGGAGUACGGUCGCAAGAUUAAAACUCAAAGGAAUUGACGGGGACCCGCACAAGCGGUGGAUGAUGUGGAUUAAUUCGAUGCAACGCGAACAACCUUACCUACCCUUGACAUGUCCAGGAGGCGGCUGAAAGGUCGCUGUGCCCGAAAGGGAAUUGGAACACAGGUGCUGCAUGGCUGUCGU